RNAcentral lists this ribosomal RNA (382 nucleotides) under Salvinia environmental sample. RNAcentral describes it as "SSU rRNA". It matches the Rfam family "Eukaryotic small subunit ribosomal RNA", at positions 585 to 972 of the family's 1831-position model. The record is from RNAcentral. Lineage: Eukaryota; Viridiplantae; Streptophyta; Polypodiopsida; Salviniales; Salviniaceae.
CCAGCUCCAAUAGCGUAUAUUUAAGUUGUUGCAGUUAAAAAGCUCGUAGUUGGAUCUCGGGGCGGGGCGGGCGGUCCGCCCUCGGGUGUGCACCGCUGGCCUCGCCCUUUCUGUCGGGGCCGCGCUCCUGGCCUUGAUUGGUCGGGACGCGUACUCGAUUAUGUUACUUUGAAAAAAUUGGAGUGCUCAAAGCAAGCCUGUGCUCUGAACACAUUAGCAUGGAAUAACGUGAUAGGACUUGGGUCCUGUCUUGUUGGUCUCCGGGACCGGAGUAAUGAUUAAUAGGAACAGUUGGGGGCAUUCGUAUUUCAUUGUCAGAGGUGAAAUUCUUGGAUUUAUGAAAGACGAACUACUGCGAAAGCAUUUGCCAAGGAUGUUUUCA